AAAAAGACAAACCCUGGUUUCCGUGUCCAACAUUUGACCGUCCGUCUUAUUUAAAAAAAUAUGAAAAAAAUUAAAAAGAUAAGUCACGCAUAAAGUAUUAAUCAUGUUUUAUCAUCUAACAACAAUGAAAAUACUAAUUAUAAAAAUUUUUCAUAUAAGACGGACAGUCAAACGUUGGCACGGAAACCCACGGUUUGCCUUUUU
Oryza sativa Japonica Group (Japanese rice) is the source of this 204-nucleotide microRNA precursor. It matches the Rfam family "MIR812 microRNA precursor family". The record is from Rfam. Lineage: Eukaryota; Viridiplantae; Streptophyta; Magnoliopsida; Poales; Poaceae.